This 253-nucleotide ribosomal RNA is filed under the name uncultured bacterium. Its description in RNAcentral is "partial 16S ribosomal RNA". It matches the Rfam family "Bacterial small subunit ribosomal RNA", at positions 524 to 776 of the family's 1533-position model. The record is from RNAcentral.
UACGUAGGGUGCAAGCGUUGUCCGGAAUUAUUGGGCGUAAAGAGCUCGUAGGCGGUCUGUCGCGUCUGCUGUGAAAACCUGGGGCUUAACUCCGGGCCUGCAGUGGGUACGGGCAGACUAGAGUGCGGUAGGGGAGACUGGAAUUCCUGGUGUAGCGGUGAAAUGCGCAGAUAUCAGGAGGAACACCGGUGGCGAAGGCGGGUCUCUGGGCCGUAACUGACGCUGAGGAGCGAAAGCGUGGGGAGCGAACAGG